ACCGCGCGCUCUGAGCGCAGAGCUCCUCCCGGUCUAUCCUGCCCGCGGUGACCAAACUGCCGCUUCGCGGGUUCAGAGCAAAGAGCUGCGUCCUACCUCUGGAGACGAUGCGGACUCCCCGCUCCGCCAGCUCGCGGAGCUCCAGCCCCAGGUCCUUGGAGAUAUUCCCCACGAUAUAGCCUUCUUCUGUCUCUUCAGUGCAUGCACAGCCUAUGGCAUCUGGAAGAUUCAGAUGAACAUACAUUGAAAAGUUGGGAAUGACAGCACGUUAUGGAGGCAACAACAUUUCCUUUUCUUUUACCGAGUAUCUCCUUCUGUUAACUAUAAAGAAGAAGAGAAUUUCGUAUUCAAGAAAACUUGAAGGAACUUAGAUAAUGACUUCGACUUUCUGAUGAAUUCACUGAGUCGUUCUCUACACACACACACACAACACACAGUAAUUUUUCUUAAAAUUUUAAGGACUUCAAAGACUCAUAAAAAGGUAGACUUAAGGAACUAGACAUGAGGAAUAAAUAUAAGAAAGAGAUGGAAACUGUACCAAUGAAAUCAGUGA
Molecule: long non-coding RNA, 553 nt
Organism: Lagenorhynchus albirostris (white-beaked dolphin)
Lineage: Eukaryota; Metazoa; Chordata; Mammalia; Artiodactyla; Delphinidae
Exons: 3
Source: RefSeq, a predicted model, not a curated record